GUGACAAGUUAAAACUUGCUUAGGUGUGGCAGAUACUGUGAUGUGAAUGGACACAAUGGAUUAGUAACUUUGGUGCACUUGUGAGAAGUGUGGAAACAUGACAGGUGUUGCAGUGCAUCUGCCGCAGUGAAGUCACUCGGAUUACUGUGAGGUGUGAAGAUGAGACUGUGUGGUGUAUCCCUGCCAUUCUGGAUCCCCAUGUUCUGCAAACAGCAUGCUACAUCAGUGCACCUGUGAGAAGUGUGCAAACAUGACAGGUGUUGCAGUGCAUCUGCCGCAGUGAAGUCACUCGGAUUACUGUGAGGUGUGAAGAUGAGACUUUGUGGUGUAUCCCUGCCAUUCUGGAUCCCCAUGUUCUGCAAACAGCAUGCUACAUCAGUACGCUGUACAGUGUAAUGAUGGAAAUGUUUAGACAUAAAUUAGUACUAGCAUCAAGCAUUUCAUAGUAAUCUGUUACUCCUGUGUUAUAGUCACUACUAAUAAUCAUACUGCUCUUGUAUUAAAUACUCCUAAACAGUAUUAACUAUUGAUACUGACAGUUGUUUGCAAUGCUGCGUUACUUGUGCUAACUGAAUGCAGUACAGCUUUGUAAAGUGCACAGUGAAUGCUGCCUUGCUACAUCUGAGUCGUGUUUUUUUUGUUUGUUUGUUUUUGUUAUUAUGGGAAGUAUAAAUGCACUGCAUUUAGGCAACUGAUACAGAGGUGCUACAGAUACCUUGGAAGAUAUAUAUUAGUUUAAAGCU
Long non-coding RNA from Protopterus annectens (West African lungfish), 743 nucleotides. RefSeq lists it as uncharacterized. The transcript has 3 exons. Lineage: Eukaryota; Metazoa; Chordata; Ceratodontiformes; Protopteridae. The record is from RefSeq and is a predicted model, not a curated record.